AAACUUUCAACAACGGAUCUCUUGGUUCCGGCAUCGAUGAAGAACGCAGCGAAAUGCGAUAAGUAAUGUGAAUUGCAGAAUUCCGUGAAUCAUCGAAUCUUUGAACGCACAUUGCGCCCCCUGGUAUUCCGGGGGGCAUGCCUGUCCGAGCGUCAUG
This 157-nucleotide ribosomal RNA is filed under the name Penicillium sp. NRRL 35203. RNAcentral describes it as "5.8S ribosomal RNA". It matches the Rfam family "5.8S ribosomal RNA". Rfam says of the family: 5.8S ribosomal RNA (5.8S rRNA) is a component of the large subunit of the eukaryotic ribosome. It is transcribed by RNA polymerase I as part of the 45S precursor that also contains 18S and 28S rRNA. The record is from RNAcentral. RNAcentral also lists the same sequence under 3 other names. Lineage: Eukaryota; Fungi; Ascomycota; Eurotiomycetes; Eurotiales; Aspergillaceae.